Molecule: long non-coding RNA, 1658 nt
Organism: Gadus macrocephalus (Pacific cod)
Lineage: Eukaryota; Metazoa; Chordata; Actinopteri; Gadiformes; Gadidae
Exons: 2
Source: RefSeq, a predicted model, not a curated record
UCAACGCCAUUUCGACGUGAGGUAAAUUACGUUGAAAAUUAGCACGAAAAUCAUCGUUGAAACAACAUAGUAUUUUCGACAUUCUCCGACCGUCGAGAUAACGACUAUCCACCAGGUUGAUUCAACGGUGAAUUUUAGUCGUCUGACGGAAACCGACUAUUUUAACCAACAAUCAACCCGUUUGACGCCCCAUUGCUGUCUGGGUGAGUGAGUGAGUGAGUGUGUGUGUGUAACCCUCUAGGGCAGUAGAGUACUCAGAUAUGGACGAGUGACUAGGUUUGUAUGGAGGGUAAUAAUAAAGUGCCAACACAAUGAUUAACUGCAGCCAUAGGUUACUUUUAAUUUGACUGUAUUCAACAUUGUAAGAAAAAAUUUAAUAGAUUCUCAGUGCAAUCAAGAAUAAUCAACAAUUUUCACAGUUUAGACCAUAACAUUAGGUAAGAAACAACUCUCUUUAAACACCAUUAAAUGUCAAACAAAUGUCCAUAAGAACGAAUAAAAAUAAGAAAAUAAAUUCCUUGGAAAUGUUUAGUUUUCUUUAAGUUCAGUCUUUGUUUCCUUCAGUUUCCUUGGCUCGGUCACUUCAGCAUGCAUUUAUAAAAAGAGUAAUGUCAAGUCAGAGUCAGAAGUCAAAAAGUCAAGGGGUCGUUUGUGGCGCUUCAGAGCGCUUUCACCGUAUAUCAAGUUUUUAGUUUAAUUUAUUCAUGCUAAGGUGCCAAGUUCAUCAAAUGAUGAAGGUAAAGGAAGAACGCUCUCUUCCUCGCCACAUCUCGGUCCACUCCUUUGGGUGAGGAGGUAUGUUCACUAGCUCGCCACCCCUUCGUCAAGGGGAAUUCCAUCCAGAUUCUCCAGAGUCUCCAAGGGUUCAAAAGCCUAACCUAUAUGAAAACAGGCUAUUAGUACACGGGUCUGGAAAUAACACUCUUCAUGGCCAUAUUGGAUAUCAUCAAAAUCCUCAACAUGCUGUUGAAAGGUGGCUUGAAAGGACUGAUAACUCAGUGUCUCUGUAACAGGCCCAUAGUAUCUUUGCCUCACUCAUUGUCUCUCUCUGUCUGUCUCUCUCUCGCUGUCCGUCUCUCUCACUCUCUUUUUUUCUCUCUCUCUCUCUCUCUCUCUCUCUCUCUCUCUCUCUCUCUCUCUCUCUCUCUCUCUCUCUCUCUCUCUCUCUCUCUCCUGUUUAGCAUGAUAAACCAUGAAAUGAAGACAAUUUUAAGAUCUUCCAUAGGGUUAGCUAAGGAGGAUUUAGAUUUGUUAUCUUAAAUGUAUAUUAAAUACCAACUGAUGGUAAAUCACAUGUUUUUUAUGCUACAAUAUUUGCAUAUUUUCAGACACAAGGUCUUCAGGUCUAUUAUACCCUACUUUCUGUCAUAAUCCUGACAAGGAACCUGAUUGAAAGAACAAGAGGUCUAUGGGAUAAUGUUGCAUGUUGUAAAUUACUUUAAACAGAAUCUUGGUUCCAAGUGUUCUCUUGGGAACCAAACUGCAGCAGAACAUGUUCAGUUAUUAAAGAUACGUUCACACCUGUUUAUCAUUUGUAAUGUCUGCUUCUUCUAUGAUUUUAGUCCUUGUAUUUAUUGUGUACAUGUAAGGGACUAUUUUUCUGUUAUAUUUGUUAAUGAAGAAUAAUUGCAAUAAACAACUCAGUGGAUCCAACUGAA